RNAcentral lists this ribosomal RNA (500 nucleotides) under uncultured Myrionecta. RNAcentral's name for it is "SSU rRNA". It matches the Rfam family "Eukaryotic small subunit ribosomal RNA", at positions 34 to 600 of the family's 1831-position model. Lineage: Eukaryota; Ciliophora; Litostomatea; Cyclotrichida; Mesodiniidae. The record is from RNAcentral.
CUUUCUAAGACUAGCCAUGCACGUCUAGUACAAACUAAAUGAUGGUGAGACUGCAAAUGGCUCAUUACAACGGUUAUGAUGUACCCGGGAGUUCCGAUGGAUAUUUCCAGUAACACUAGAACUAAUACAUGUCCCUGCGUUUAUUAGUUUCGCACAGUCCGUCGCUGAGUCAUGGUAAACAGUUGAUCGACUCGACGUCCCGGAACAGUUUCCGCCCCAUCAGCUUCGAUGGUUGGGUAUUGGCCUACCAUUGCAACAACGGGUAACGAGGAAUUAGGGUUUGAUUUCGGAGAGGGAGCCUGAGAAACGGCUACCACAUCUACGGAUGGCAGCAGGCGCGCAAAUUACCCAAUGCAGACACUGUGAGGUAGUGACGAGAAAUAAUAAAGCGGGACUUCUGUUUCGCUAUUAUAAUGAGGAAUAACCAAAGGUCAUUCCGAUUAGCAACUGAUGGGAAAGUCUGGUGCCAGCAGCCGCGGUAAUACCAGCGUCAGUAGCAU